GAUGUCGAAGGACGAAAAGCAAUAGGCUGAACAAAGACUGGCUCACUAGAUGUAGAGGGCCUAAACUAAAGCUAAAUCCUGAUGGCAUCAAGUUGGGACAAGAUCUCCCUCACAGUAAUUUAGAGCCCAUCAAGAUCAGUAGAUAGAAAAUCUCUGGAGUCUCUGAUGUCUGUCCAAAGCAGCUCAAGAGAGAAACGAAGCUGACUGUGGAGUCUCUCAAUCUCUCGAGCCAGGUCAUUCAUCUACGGCGUAGAAGAAGUCGAUGUGCCCACUCCAACAGAUAGAGAGACUACAAUCCGUCUGACCUCUCUCUCUAAAUCGAAAAUCCUGCCACUGAAUCUGAGAAGGGAGCUUUCCACACCCU
Molecule: long non-coding RNA, 364 nt
Filed under: Elaeis guineensis (African oil palm)
Lineage: Eukaryota; Viridiplantae; Streptophyta; Magnoliopsida; Arecales; Arecaceae
Description: long non-coding RNA (EGUI_LNC064272)
Source: RNAcentral